This 126-nucleotide microRNA precursor is filed under the name Podarcis lilfordi (Lilford's wall lizard). Lineage: Eukaryota; Metazoa; Chordata; Lepidosauria; Squamata; Lacertidae. The record is from RNAcentral.
AUGUAGCGAGCUGAGUGGGGAGGAGAGAGGGACAGAGAGCCUGCUUGCUUUAAAGAAACCAACCGGACACUCGUGUGGCUCCUCUCCUCUCUGUCCCUCUCUCCUCCCCACUCAGCGUCUCUUCUC